Molecule: transfer RNA, 65 nt
Filed under: Dipodomys ordii (Ord's kangaroo rat)
Lineage: Eukaryota; Metazoa; Chordata; Mammalia; Rodentia; Heteromyidae
Rfam family: tRNA
About the family: Transfer RNA (tRNA) molecules are approximately 80 nucleotides in length. Their secondary structure includes four short double-helical elements and three loops (D, anti-codon, and T loops). Further hydrogen bonds mediate the characteristic L-shaped molecular structure. tRNAs have two regions of fundamental functional importance: the anti-codon, which is responsible for specific mRNA codon recognition, and the 3' end, to which the tRNAs corresponding amino acid is attached (by aminoacyl-tRNA synthetases). tRNAs cope with the degeneracy of the genetic code in two manners: having more than one tRNA (with a specific anti-codon) for a particular amino acid; and 'wobble' base-pairing, i.e. permitting non-standard base-pairing at the 3rd anti-codon position.
Source: Rfam by way of RNAcentral
GGUGGCUCAGUGAUAGAGUGCUUGCCUAGCAUGCAUGAAGUCCUGGGUUCAAUUCCUCAGCACCA